RNAcentral lists this long non-coding RNA (559 nucleotides) under Triticum aestivum (bread wheat). RNAcentral describes it as "long non-coding RNA (TAES_LNC023557)". The record is from RNAcentral. Lineage: Eukaryota; Viridiplantae; Streptophyta; Magnoliopsida; Poales; Poaceae.
GUACUAGAAGAAGGUGAGGAAUCCGCAUCUGCUCCUGCUCGACCACGUCCAGAUCGAGGGACACUUGCUUCUGCUCGCUACGGACGCUGCUGCUCUGAUCUGACCAUAGUGCCGGCGCUCCUCCUCCUCAAGGUCAAGGUGGGGACCCAUCUUUGGUGCAAUUUGCUCUUCCCCUUCUCACUGCUCUUCCCCUUCUCACAGAUGGCCAUGAGCUUGGUUUCUUCCUCAUGCAGGCAGUCUGGGUAGGCUCCCCGUCGGUGUCGGCUUCCCCUGCCUGCCACUCCUCUCCUCUGAUGGAGUUGACCUUUGCUGGAGCGGACAAGUUUGGAUGCCCGUGCGCCUUUGGUGGUGGGAUAGGUAACCCCCCCUCAUCCCCAUGCUCUCUCUCUUUCUGUAAUGUAUCCAUGGCCAUCUGUACGCAUUUCAAGCAGGGGGCAAGCAGCUAGCAAAAUACUGAAUACAAAGCUCCUUGUUGUGUUUUACGAAAGGAAUUGGGUGUACUUGAAUUGUGAAGGAAGAAAGGGCCAUUGGACUGUAUGGGAAGAAUGGGAUGAUGUCA